GCGACAUCUGGACACUGCGUGGCGCUGGCGCUGCCGGAGCUGCGGGCCCGGCCUGGCGCCGGACUAGUCUCCCUUUUGAUGAGAAGAGUAAGUCUCAUUCUGAUUCAACAGCAGAGAUCAAAGAAAAGACUUCUGUUUUCUGGCCACCAGAUAUAUGUUAUCUGUGCUUAAAGAACUGAAAAACACACAUCAAAGGAGAAUUCUCUUGGAAAGAGAGGGUUCAAGCAUUAUUGUUAGGUGUGCUGGAAUCCUUUCCCGAGUCAGUACUGCUUUCUAGAACAGAACCAGGGAGAUCUAUUUGGAAUGUAUCUAACUCCAAAGAAACCAUCAGAGGUAAUAGUGGAGACGGGGUUUCACCAUGUUGGCCAGACUGGUCUUGAACUCCAGACCUCAUGAUUCGCCUGCCUCCGCCUCCCAAAGUGCUGGGAUUACAUGUGUGAGACACCACACUCAGCGGAUAGAGAGAAUUUUGACAGGAUGAUUACGGAGUUAGGAAUUUCCUACGAAGCUGGGUGAUAAAAGCACAUUGGAGAAAAACACAGAUAGCUUCAUUCUAUACCAGGAUCCAUUAUAUUUGUCUCUACUGUAAUUUGAGGAGAAUGAUAUCUGCUUCUCUAUCUUGUUGGGUUUUACAGAUGACGUAUUGAAAGUUCAAUAAAAUCUAUAAACAAUA
Molecule: antisense RNA, 673 nt
Filed under: Pongo abelii (Sumatran orangutan)
Lineage: Eukaryota; Metazoa; Chordata; Mammalia; Primates; Hominidae
Rfam family: CDKN2B antisense RNA 1 convserved region 3 (bases 75-218)
Source: RNAcentral